RNAcentral lists this non-coding RNA (29 nucleotides) under Mus musculus (house mouse). Lineage: Eukaryota; Metazoa; Chordata; Mammalia; Rodentia; Muridae. The record is from RNAcentral.
UCCCUGCUGCCAAUACGGAUGCUUCUACU